GUGGAUUAGAUACCCGAGUAGUCCCGGCCGUAAACGAUGGAUACUAGGUGUUGCGGGUAUCGACCCCUGCAGUGCCGUAGCAAACGCGAUAAGUAUCCCGCCUGGGGAGUACGCACGCAAGUGUGAAACUCAAAGGAAUUGACGGGGACCCGCACAAGCGGUGGAACAUGUGGUUUAAUUCGAAGCAACGCGAAAAACCUUACCAGGGCUUGACAUCUGAGGAACCUUAGUGAAAGCUAGGGGUGCUUUUCGGAGAGCCUCAAGACAGGUGGUGCAUGGCCGUCGUCAGCU
This 291-nucleotide ribosomal RNA is filed under the name uncultured bacterium. Its description in RNAcentral is "partial 16S ribosomal RNA". It matches the Rfam family "Bacterial small subunit ribosomal RNA", at positions 773 to 1060 of the family's 1533-position model. The record is from RNAcentral.